Molecule: long non-coding RNA, 431 nt
Organism: Lagenorhynchus albirostris (white-beaked dolphin)
Lineage: Eukaryota; Metazoa; Chordata; Mammalia; Artiodactyla; Delphinidae
Exons: 3
Source: RefSeq, a predicted model, not a curated record
GAGGAGGAAGCGGCGACAAGAGUGCGCUCGGGCGAGCCCGGUGCCGGCGUCUCGGGGCGGCCCGGGCUGUGCAGCGUUGGUGGUAUAGUGCGUUUUGUAACUGGAGUCCGAUGGAACAAUGGAGCCUGCUGGAUAAGCAGAUACCAGCAACAUUCUUACCUGCCUUCCUUGUCACCCAUUGGUAUAUAGCAUUUGCUGUGCUUGAUGAACACAGAAUUCCGGAUGGACCCACUAUGCAGUGGGUCCUAAGAUGAGUAGUAUAAGCCAAUACAUGGAAGCAACCUAAACAUCCAUCAACGGAUGAAUGAAUAAAGAAGAUGCGGUGUAUAUACACAAUGGAACACUUCUCAGCCAUUAGAAAGAGUGAAAUAAUGCCAUAUGCAGCAACAUGGAUGAACCUAGAGAUCAUCGUACUAAGUGAAGUAAGUCAG